This 157-nucleotide small RNA is filed under the name Clostridiales bacterium CHKCI001. RNAcentral describes it as "Clostridiales-1 RNA". It matches the Rfam family "Clostridiales-1 RNA". The record is from Rfam by way of RNAcentral. Lineage: Bacteria; Bacillati; Bacillota; Clostridia; Eubacteriales.
UAAAAGUAUCGUCAAUGUCCAGACAGCUAGGGUAUUUAUGCCCUAUGCUGACUGGACAUUGGACGAUCUGACCUGUAUGAGCAAGUAAGGCAUUUGCCUGGAUUGCGAAUAUGGGCAGCGAUGUGGAGAGUGCGCAGCACGAAAAAAUGGAUUUUUA